RNAcentral lists this ribosomal RNA (208 nucleotides) under uncultured Bacillus sp. RNAcentral's name for it is "partial 16S ribosomal RNA". It matches the Rfam family "Bacterial small subunit ribosomal RNA", at positions 1174 to 1382 of the family's 1533-position model. Lineage: Bacteria; Bacillati; Bacillota; Bacilli; Caryophanales; Bacillaceae. The record is from RNAcentral.
UGGGAUGGACGUCAAAUCAUCAUGCCCCUUAUGUUCUGGGCUACACACGUGCUACAAUGGCCGGUACAGACGGACGCAAAGCCGCGAGGUGGAGCAAAUCCUAAAAGCCGGUCUCAGUUCGGAUUGCAGGCUGCAAUUCGCCUGCAUGAAGUCGGAAUCGCUAGUAAUCGCAGGUCAGCAUACUGCGGUCGAAUACGUUCCGGGCCUU